UGCAAGUCGAACGCUUCUUUUUCCNCCGGAGCUUGCUCCACCGGAAAAAGAGGAGUGGCGAACGGGUGAGUAACACGUGGGUAACCUGCCCAUCAGAAGGGGAUAACACUUGGAAACAGGUGCUAAUACCGUAUAACAAUCGAAACCGCAUGGUUUUGAUUUGAAAGGCGCUUUCGGGUGUCGCUGAUGGAUGGACCCGCGGUGCAUUAGCUAGUUGGUGAGGUAACGGCUCACCAAGGCGACGAUGCAUAGCCGACCUGAGAGGGUGAUCGGCCACAUUGGGACUGAGACACGGCCCAAACUCCUACGGGAGGCAGCAGUAGGGAAUCUUCGGCAAUGGACGAAAGUCUGACCGAGCAACGCCGCGUGAGUGAAGAAGGUUUUCGGAUCGUAAAACUCUGUUGUUAGAGAAGAACAAGGAUGAGAGUAACUGUUCAUCCCUUGACGGUAUCUAACCAGAAAGCCACGGCUAACUACG
This 478-nucleotide ribosomal RNA is filed under the name Enterococcus hirae. Its description in RNAcentral is "bacterial SSU rRNA". It matches the Rfam family "Bacterial small subunit ribosomal RNA", at positions 56 to 505 of the family's 1533-position model. Lineage: Bacteria; Bacillati; Bacillota; Bacilli; Lactobacillales; Enterococcaceae. The record is from RNAcentral.